CUCACUCGUCACAAAAGAGCCUCAGUUCGAUGCUGAAUUUUGGUUCUGUUGAACUGUUAGACUGCAGUCUUGAUCUUUUGUUUUACGCCCUGUUGCAAUUUUUGCAAGCCUUGGCUGGAAGUCCCUUCAGAAGGGAUCUGAAAGAGGAUGAGAAGCGCAAGACUCCAGGAAAGAGAUGGAGAGCACCCUGUAACAGUGCAGAGCUCUCACUACACCCAAAUGGCUUAAAGUCUGAAGGUAUUGCCUAAGGAAGGAACGAUAGGAGACAAUAACAAGGAAAACAAGCCCAAGCUGAUGGACAGAGAGGUUUAUAAAAUGUGAUUUACUUUGGUUCCUUUCUAUCACUACCUAAAU
Molecule: long non-coding RNA, 354 nt
Filed under: Struthio camelus australis
Lineage: Eukaryota; Metazoa; Chordata; Aves; Struthioniformes; Struthionidae
Description: lncRNA (ENSSCUG00000004064.1)
Source: RNAcentral